GGCUCAGAACGAACGCUGGCGGCGCGUUUAAGCAUGCAAGUCGAGCGGCAAGGGCCUCGGGCCCCUAGAGCGGCGGACGGGUGAGUAACACGUGGACAAUCUGCCCCCCGGCCCGGGAUAGCCCAGGGAAACCUGGAUUAAUACCGGAUGAGACGGGACCCGCGAUGGCGGGAUCCGGGAAAGGCGCUGCGGCGCCGCCGGGGGAUGAGUCUGCGUCCCAUUAGCUAGACGGCGGGGUAACGGCCCACCGUGGCGACGAUGGGUAGCCGGCCUGAGAGGGUGGACGGCCACAUUGGAACUGAGACACGGCCCAAACUCCUACGGGAGGCAGCAGUAGGGAAUUUUCGGCAAUGGGGGAAACCCUGACCGAGCAACGCCGCGUGAAUGAAGAACCGUAUUUCGGUAUGUAAAGUUCUUUUAUUAAGGAAGAAUAUCACGGAUAGGAAAUGAUCUGUGAGUGACGGUACUUAAUGAAUAAGCCCCGGCUAACUAUGUGCCAGCCGCAGC
RNAcentral lists this ribosomal RNA (507 nucleotides) under uncultured bacterium. RNAcentral's name for it is "bacterial SSU rRNA". It matches the Rfam family "Bacterial small subunit ribosomal RNA", at positions 21 to 518 of the family's 1533-position model. The record is from RNAcentral.